Molecule: ribosomal RNA, 496 nt
Filed under: uncultured bacterium
Lineage: Bacteria
Description: partial 16S ribosomal RNA
Rfam family: Bacterial small subunit ribosomal RNA
Source: RNAcentral
AUGAACGCUGGCGGCGUGCCUAAUACAUGCAAGUCGCGCGAACAGACGAGGAGCUUGCUCCUCUGACGUUAGCGGCGGACGGGUGAGUAACACGUGGAUAACCUACCUAUAAGACUGGGAUAACUUCGGGAAACCGAAGCUAAUACCGGAUAAUAUAUUGAACCGCAUGGUUCAAUAGUGAAAGACGGUUUUGCUGUCACUUAUAGAUGGAUCCGCGCCACAUUAGCUAGUUGGUAAGGUAACGGCUUACCAAGGCAACGAUGCGUAGCCGACCUGAGAGGGUGAUCGGCCACACUGGAACUGAGACACGGUCCAGACUCCUACGGGAGGCAGCAGUAGGGAAUCUUCCGCAAUGGGCGAAAGCCUGACGGAGCAACGCCGCGUGAGUGAUGAAGGUCUUCGGAUCGUAAAACUCUGUUAUUAGGGAAGAACAAAUGUGUAAGUAACUAUGCACGUCUUGACGGUACCUAAUCAGAAAGCCACGGCUAACUACGUG